Small nuclear RNA from Cricetulus griseus (Chinese hamster), 103 nucleotides. NCBI's taxonomy places the organism in Eukaryota, Metazoa, Chordata, Mammalia, Rodentia, Cricetidae. The record is from Ensembl.
UCGCUUCAGUAGCACGUAUGCUGAGACUGGAAUGAUACAGAGAAGAUUAAGAUGGCCCCUGCUCAAAGAUGACGUGCAAAUUCGUGAACCAUUCCAUAGUUAG